This is a small nuclear RNA of Sorex fumeus (smoky shrew), 161 nucleotides long. RefSeq annotates it as U1 spliceosomal RNA. The transcript has a single exon. The record is from RefSeq and is a predicted model, not a curated record. NCBI's taxonomy places the organism in Eukaryota, Metazoa, Chordata, Mammalia, Eulipotyphla, Soricidae.
AUACUUAGUUGGCAAGGGAGAUAUGAUCGUGAAGGUGGUUUUCCCAGGUUGAAGUUUAUCCAUUGUACUCUGGGUGUGCUGACCCCUGCAAUUUCCCCAAAUGUAGGAAACACUACUGCAUAAUUUGUGAUAACAGGGGACUGUGUUUGCCCUCUCCCCUG